This is a long non-coding RNA of Sceloporus undulatus (fence lizard), 3471 nucleotides long. RefSeq lists it as uncharacterized. Lineage: Eukaryota; Metazoa; Chordata; Lepidosauria; Squamata; Phrynosomatidae. The transcript has 7 exons. The record is from RefSeq and is a predicted model, not a curated record.
GUUUUCUGAGAGUUGUCUCUCUUUAUCCUCUCUUGGUACAAAAUGAGUACUGAUGGUAUUCUUUGUACAGACUUCACUCUGUUACCCACAGACUGUCUUGAUUUCAGCUAUCCUAUGUUCACCGCAACCACACUGGAGAAACCCAUGGAAAUUCAACCACCGUCUCCUUCCCAGGAUGAACACAAAGUGGGAACAAAGGGAGUUUAAGAUUUAGACUGCAUGUUUCCAAAACACCCAGGGGUCCUGAUGCAUCUGCAACUAUGGGACAGGAGACGGCAAGUACAGUACGACUCCCAAAUCGGCGAGGGAUAAGUUUCCAGAUUUACCCAGGAUAGCGAAAAUUGAGGAUAAUGGCGAACCCUGGUUUCCAGUGGAAGUUGACCAUAGAGUUGCCCCGGAGGACUUCCAGAUGCCUGGAGAGACCUGUUUGUCUGGACUUUGCAUUGACAGUGUCCUGGACAGAAAAAACUCAGGAUUUGCAAUGAUCCGACCCAAUCCUUGGAGAAUUAGUUUGGAAACAUUUCCCUUCAAGUUUCAUUUUUGGCCAUCGGCUCUCCAGAUCUUCACACUCCAUCUUGAAGCGCUUUGGGGAGACGCUUUGUUUGGCGCAUGGGUCAACGUGACCGCACCAGUUGCCUGAGCAGAUGGAGAGAUGUACCACCAGAUAUAUCUUUGUUGCAAAGUGUAUCCUACAAGAAAAAAAAAAGGAAAGAAAGAAAGAAACCCGGGCUUGAUGGAGCAAUGGCACAUCUCCCCACUAUCACUGGCACAUCAAUGGGACAGUAAAACCAGCAAGGACGCCUGAGUGCUACAGACAGAAAAAUCAUCCCUGGCAACAUUAAAAAAAGGGCAUAAAAGUUCAUGGCCGUCCCCCGGGUGGUAAUUAAUGGCACCGUAAGAACCGGGGAGGGGGAAAGAGAGAGACCAAGCACCCGCACUCGCCAAAUGAGCUCACUGCGGCUAAUGUUAUUACUUACUUCACUGAGCUAAGUAACUCUAUGGAAGUGUAGGUCAUCUGCCUGGACUUGGUAGGAAGCCACACGCUAUUAGGGAGCGGAGUUUACUGGCAUUAGUCAAGCGAGUCGGAGGGAGCCCGGUGGUAGCGGAGUUGCAUAGGAGACCUGGUCAUCGUGGGAAAUGGAGAGCUGAGAAGACUGACAACGGAGGAGGAAAAGGAUGUUAUUUAUCUCUUGUUGUUGUGGGCCUUCAAGUCACUUCCAACUUUUGGCAACCCUACAUUUGCCCAAGGUCACCCAGUAAGUUUCCAUGGCUGAGUGGGUAUUCGAAUCCUAGUCUCCAAAGUCAGAGUCCAGUGAUGAAACCACAAGGCCACAUGUCAUCUCAAGAUUGUUCUAUGGCCCUCAGAUUCGCCACCUUCCCCAGACCACCAAUUUCCGGGCUAAAAUGAGGUUUGAACGUCCUCGGCCAAAAGUCUCCAGAAGCAGCAGUGGAUCUUUGAAAUAGGUUACCCACCCACCCACCCCCCAUAAACUCCACCAACAUACAGUGGCCAAGCUCGACUGUAGUUGCAUUGGAUGAUGGAACUAUUGUUGUUGGUUGUUGUUGUGUGCCUUUAAGUCGUUUCCAACUUAUGGUGACCCUAAGGCAACCCUAUCAUGGAACCAUCUCCUUCCCACCAAAAAACCAACUGUUUCUUCCUGGUUGCCCACCAAAGAUGCAGGGAGAUGGAGCAUUGGGGCAUUUUGUAGACCAUCAUUUUUAAUGCCAAGCCAUCUCCUAGGGCUGUGGUUCCCAACCUUUGAUCUUCCAGAUGUUUUGGAAUUCAUCUCUCAUUCCUGACAAGUUGGCUGGGGGCUUCUGGGAUCUGACUUCCAAAACAAAUGGAGGACCAAAGAUCCAGAACCACUGCCGCAGGGCUUAUUAAUACAAAUUACCCCUUUCUGUGUCGGUUGUUGUGGUGGUGGUUGUGUGACGUCAAUUCUUUUCUGAUGUACGGCAACCCUAAAGGGCUUUCUCGGCCAGAUUUAUUCUUGUCCACACAUAUCCUUGUUUUCAUCUGUGAAAUGUUGGGGGAGUGUGAUACAUUCAAGCAACACCUGUCCAACACAACACAAAAAUGCACAGUUUAUCCAAGGACGCCAGAUAUCCAAGAGACAGUCAAAAGACCUGAAAUGCCUUCCGGAGCAAGAGCAGGGGGAAAAAAGAGGCAAGGUUCUUUACCAAUCUCAAAGGCUGAGUGGAGAUGUUAUGCUGGGUAGCGGAGGUGCCGGAGGAAUACAAGAAGAUCAUUUCUUUUACCAAGUGCGGAGACACGGACGAGCAGAGAUAUUGCAGUUGUCAUAUGGAGUCCAGAUGACUUUGACUUAUCAUCAACUUAUGAAGGGGAGACCUCCAAGAUACCUGGUCAUGAACUGGCCUACUUAGGUCUUGCAAACUCAGGGCAGCCAUGGCAUCCUUGAUGGAGUCAAUCCAUCUCUAGUGUAGUCUCCAUUUUCUACUGCCUUCUACUUCACUCCUUUCCAAUGAGUCCCAUCAUCUGAGAGAGAGAGAGAGAGAAGAGCGGCCAGGCACAGCUCCAUCAUGCUUUGGAUUGGCACAUUUUGAUGCUCCGGGAAGCUUUGAAACUUUGGAAGCAUCCCCAGAACAGAGGACAAACCUUGCAAGCGCAGAAAGCAGUCAGAGAAAAGAGAGAUUGCUGUAGAGGUGGAUAGAAAUGACUGAUAGUUGAAAAUAAAAAGAAAAUGAGGGGAAGAAAAAGCUGCUCAUGGAAAGCUCCUUUAAUGUCUGAAGUCGAACCAAGAGUAGAGUCACUGUAAGCCUGGACAUGGUGCAAAUUCUCUCCAGAUAUGCGCAAAGGCACCAUAGCAAUUUUCUUUCCUCCCCUUCCUCCACUUAAAUGGCAAAAUGAAUAAAGCAUUCCAGAUCCCAGCCAAGGAUGGCAUCCAAGUGGCUCGGGUGUUAGAAAAAAAAUCCCCGCCUGCUCUGCUGUGACGUGAACAGAUGGGUGCCUCUGGCGACGCAGCGCUCCCGAUCUCGCUCGGUAAUGAGUCUCUCCGCUUGGCUUGGGCCACAUGCUCCUCUGAAUGAAAGAGGUGGGACCCCGGCACACCGAACACACGAAGAAGGUGGCGCAGAGGGAGAAUCAGCCACCCAGUCGGAAAAACGUCUCACCGAGGCCACAGGUGACAGAUUUGAGUUUCAUGGGUUGGGACCUAAUCCAUUUUUCCUUUCCAUGGAUCCACAGCUUUGCAAUGAUCAGUCACAGUACACAGCUUGGCUUCACAGAAUCAAUUAAUUAAUGGAGUUGGAAAGGACCACAAAGGUCAUCGAAUCCAACCCUCUGCCAUGCAGGAAGGCACACCUUUACAAAUACCUUUACACACACGCAACCUUCCUUGGGUUACAUAUUUGAUUUGAUUUUAUCGCCGAAUGAGUGGAUCCAGUUUGCGUAGGCUGGUAAAGAGAUCUGCAAUUUGAGAGGAUCAAAUUUUUGUAGCCUGAUGGAGAGAU